This is a long non-coding RNA of Corapipo altera (White-ruffed manakin), 257 nucleotides long. RefSeq lists it as uncharacterized. The record is from RefSeq and is a predicted model, not a curated record. The transcript is spliced from 3 exons. NCBI's taxonomy places the organism in Eukaryota, Metazoa, Chordata, Aves, Passeriformes, Pipridae.
UCCCCGAGCCCCCGCAGUGCCACAGUUCUCUGAGGCAGGAGGGGAUCCCAGCAUGCAAUGGAAAUGGUUCCCAUCCCUGUUUGCUUCUAGAUGAGGACACUGGUAAUGUUUCUCCUUUACAUUGGCUGCGUGAAGUUUUGAAGCCAUUUAGGCCUCCUGCAGGGGUGUCCACAGGGAAGACUUUUCCAGGUCCUGUGCUGGUUCCUCCACACGAGCCCAGCUCACACAGCAGGGGCAAGAACCAACCUCCAGGAGAG